RNAcentral lists this ribosomal RNA (1305 nucleotides) under uncultured Klebsiella sp. RNAcentral's name for it is "bacterial SSU rRNA". It matches the Rfam family "Bacterial small subunit ribosomal RNA", at positions 57 to 1354 of the family's 1533-position model. Lineage: Bacteria; Pseudomonadati; Pseudomonadota; Gammaproteobacteria; Enterobacterales; Enterobacteriaceae. The record is from RNAcentral.
GCAAGUCGAGCGGUAGCACAGAGAGCUUGCUCUCGGGUGACGAGCGGCGGACGGGUGAGUAAUGUCUGGGAAACUGCCUGAUGGAGGGGGAUAACUACUGGAAACGGUAGCUAAUACCGCAUAACGUCGCAAGACCAAAGUGGGGGACCUUCGGGCCUCAUGCCAUCAGAUGUGCCCAGAUGGGAUUAGCUAGUAGGUGGGGUAACGGCUCACCUAGGCGACGAUCCCUAGCUGGUCUGAGAGGAUGACCAGCCACACUGGAACUGAGACACGGUCCAGACUCCUACGGGAGGCAGCAGUGGGGAAUAUUGCACAAUGGGCGCAAGCCUGAUGCAGCCAUGCCGCGUGUGUGAAGAAGGCCUUCGGGUUGUAAAGCACUUUCAGCGGGGAGGAAGGCGGUGAGGUUAAUAACCUUGGCGAUUGACGUUACCCGCAGAAGAAGCACCGGCUAACUCCGUGCCAGCAGCCGCGGUAAUACGGAGGGUGCAAGCGUUAAUCGGAAUUACUGGGCGUAAAGCGCACGCAGGCGGUCUGUCAAGUCGGAUGUGAAAUCCCCGGGCUCAACCUGGGAACUGCAUUCGAAACUGGCAGGCUAGAGUCUUGUAGAGGGGGGUAGAAUUCCAGGUGUAGCGGUGAAAUGCGUAGAGAUCUGGAGGAAUACCGGUGGCGAAGGCGGCCCCCUGGACAAAGACUGACGCUCAGGUGCGAAAGCGUGGGGAGCAAACAGGAUUAGAUACCCUGGUAGUCCACGCCGUAAACGAUGUCGAUUUGGAGGUUGUGCCCUUGAGGCGUGGCUUCCGGAGCUAACGCGUUAAAUCGACCGCCUGGGGAGUACGGCCGCAAGGUUAAAACUCAAAUGAAUUGACGGGGGCCCGCACAAGCGGUGGAGCAUGUGGUUUAAUUCGAUGCAACGCGAAGAACCUUACCUGGUCUUGACAUCCACAGAACUUAGCAGAGAUGCUUUGGUGCCUUCGGGAACUGUGAGACAGGUGCUGCAUGGCUGUCGUCAGCUCGUGUUGUGAAAUGUUGGGUUAAGUCCCGCAACGAGCGCAACCCUUAUCCUUUGUUGCCAGCGGUCCGGCCGGGAACUCAAAGGAGACUGCCAGUGAUAAACUGGAGGAAGGUGGGGAUGACGUCAAGUCAUCAUGGCCCUUACGACCAGGGCUACACACGUGCUACAAUGGCAUAUACAAAGAGAAGCGACCUCGCGAGAGCAAGCGGACCUCAUAAAGUAUGUCGUAGUCCGGAUUGGAGUCUGCAACUCGACUCCAUGAAGUCGGAAUCGCUAGUAAUCGUAGAUCAGAA